This 631-nucleotide long non-coding RNA is filed under the name Volvox carteri. RNAcentral describes it as "long non-coding RNA (VCAR_LNC001386)". Lineage: Eukaryota; Viridiplantae; Chlorophyta; Chlorophyceae; Chlamydomonadales; Volvocaceae. The record is from RNAcentral.
CCAUGCCUUCUUUUUGUGUGUGAUGCAAAAAAAUGAGGUCCUGGUCCUGCAGGGGGAUAUUUUGAUGCCGGGGACUUUGGGCAACAGUUUUGGUGUCCAGUAAAGGAUGCUGUACGCAUGCGUAUGUGUGCGAUUGCUGCUGUAACUGCUGCCUGCUGCUGCUGUUGCUAAUGCUGUUGCUAAUGCUGUUGCUGAUGCUAAUGGCGGUGAGCAAAGGCUGCUGAUGCUAUUGUUGCCUCUGCUCUGCUGCAGAUCGAUUCCUGGAAGGAAUGUUUUCGUUGUCUGCUGCAGUAAAAAAGCGCCAGCGGCACGCCUUGAGGAUUCCCUUGAUGUCUUUUCAUCUAAAUCUGUUGACGAAGUCGGGAGUUAUUAGGUGCGUAAGAAGAUCCCAGAUAAAGGUUUAUGGCGCGAGAUUUGGAGAUUUAGCAGGAGGUCGUUAUUAAGCAGGAGACGUUUGUCUCAAGCACAGAGUAGUUGUGAGAGAGAGCUCGUGAGGGGUUCUAGCUCAACGCAGUUUGUUAGGUUUAGUUACAGUUAUUCUGGCUGUGCAGUUGAUGAAUGGCGAGGUAGGCAUAGGCUGGUGGACAAAAGCCCAGAUACAGAUGUUGUACCUUGGUUUACUAUGCGCGUG